GACCUCAAAUCGGGUGAGACUACCCGCUGAACUUAAGCAUAUCAAUAAGCGGAGGAAAAGAAACUAACAAGGAUUCCCCUAGUAACUGCGAGUGAAGCGGGAAAAGCUCAAAUUUAAAAUCUGGUGGUCUUUGGCCAUCCGAGUUGUAAUUUAGAGAAGCGUCUUCCGCGCUGGACCAUGCACAAGUCUCCUGGAAUGGAGCGUCAUAGAGGGUGAGAAUCCCGUCUUUGGCAUGGACCCCAGGGCUUCUGUGAUGCGCUCUCAAAGAGUCGAGUUGUUUGGGAAUGCAGCUCAAAAUGGGUGGUGAACUCCAUCUAAAGCUAAAUAUUGGCGAGAGACCGAUAGCGAACAAGUACCGUGAGGGAAAGAUGAAAAGCACUUUGGAAAGAGAGUGAAACAGUACGUGAAAUUGUUGAAAGGGAAACGCUUAAAGUCAGUCGCGUCGACCGAGACUCAGCCUUGCCCUUGGCUUGGUGUACUUCUCGGCUGACGGGUCAGCAUCAAUUUCGAUCGUUGGAUAAUGGCAAGGGAAAGGUAGCACCUUUACAGGUGUGUUAUAGUCCUCUGUCGAAUGCAAGGGUCGGGAUUGAGGAACUCAGCAUGCACCUWGUCGGUGUCGGGGCC
Molecule: ribosomal RNA, 624 nt
Filed under: uncultured fungus
Lineage: Eukaryota; Fungi
Description: eukaryotic LSU rRNA
Rfam family: Eukaryotic large subunit ribosomal RNA
Source: RNAcentral